This 164-nucleotide ribosomal RNA is filed under the name Veronica multifida. RNAcentral describes it as "5.8S ribosomal RNA". It matches the Rfam family "5.8S ribosomal RNA". From Rfam's summary of the family: 5.8S ribosomal RNA (5.8S rRNA) is a component of the large subunit of the eukaryotic ribosome. It is transcribed by RNA polymerase I as part of the 45S precursor that also contains 18S and 28S rRNA. Functionally, it is thought that 5.8S rRNA may be involved in ribosome translocation. Lineage: Eukaryota; Viridiplantae; Streptophyta; Magnoliopsida; Lamiales; Plantaginaceae. The record is from RNAcentral.
UCUAAACGACUCUCGGCAACGGAUAUCUCGGCUCUCGCAUCGAUGAAGAACGUAGCGAAAUGCGAUACUUGGUGUGAAUUGCAGAAUCCCGUGAACCAUCGAGUCUUUGAACGCAAGUUGCGCCCGAAGCCUUUAGGCCGAGGGCACGCCUGCCUGGGCGUCAC